Molecule: ribosomal RNA, 253 nt
Filed under: uncultured bacterium
Lineage: Bacteria
Description: partial 16S ribosomal RNA
Rfam family: Bacterial small subunit ribosomal RNA
Source: RNAcentral
UACGUAGGGUGCAAGCGUUGUCCGGAAUUAUUGGGCGUAAAGAGCUCGUAGGCGGCUUGCCACGUCUGCCGUGAAAACCAGCAGCUUAACUGUUGGCUUGCGGUUGAUACGGGUUGGCUGGAGUUCGGUAGGGGAGACUGGAAUUCCUGGUGUAGCGGUGAAAUGCGCAGAUAUCAGGAGGAACACCGGUGGCGAAGGCGGAUCUCUGGGCCUUACCUGACGCUGAGGCGCGAAAGCUAGGGGAGCGAACAGG